Molecule: long non-coding RNA, 565 nt
Organism: Oncorhynchus kisutch (coho salmon)
Lineage: Eukaryota; Metazoa; Chordata; Actinopteri; Salmoniformes; Salmonidae
Exons: 5
Source: RefSeq, a predicted model, not a curated record
CCAGUUCACCUGGGCUGUACCAAAAAAGGCAGAAAAGCCGGUCUUAUUCUCUCUCUACCCCAGCCCAGGAUGAAUUUAAUGGGGACACGCCUGGACGGAGACUAUCAACAACUUCACCUAGGCAGUCCCAAAAAAGACAGCGAAACCACUCUCGUUCCUCCUCCUCUAUCGAUGUUGUAGUUGGACCAUCCAACAGUUGGGCCAUGAGUCGAUCCAGCAGACACAGCAGCUCUAGCCCCUCUCAUUCUCCAUCUACCCAUUUUCGGGAUGUAGUUGGGCAAUUCAGGAAUUCAGCUGGCCGUUCCCGAUGAUCUCCUUCCCCAUCUCACUUCACACACGGUGGGUCAAGAGUACAGCUUGGCUUACGAGUCCAGAAAUCUUAAUCAGAUUCAUCCAGGGCUUCUACUUGCCAGUCCCAACGGAUCCAAGAGCAUCGCAGCUCUCACCCUCCCAUUCCCUGCGCUAGACCACAGAUGUUGUCCAUGAAUAAUGCCAAUAAGUGGAUUGUUCCACGAAAUGUGUGCCUUUUGAUUCUCUCUGAUACUUCAUGUAUAAAUGAUGCACC